RNAcentral lists this ribosomal RNA (762 nucleotides) under uncultured archaeon. Its description in RNAcentral is "bacterial SSU rRNA". It matches the Rfam family "Archaeal small subunit ribosomal RNA", at positions 34 to 828 of the family's 1478-position model. The record is from RNAcentral.
CGGAUGUCUAGCCACGCGAGUCAUUGUAGCAUACAAGGCAGACGGCUCAGUAACGCGUAGUCAAUCUACCCUAUGGGCGGGAAUAACCUCGGGAAACUGAGAAUAAUGCCCGAUAGAACAUUAUACCUGGAACGGUUUAUGUUUCAAAUGAUUUAUCGCCAUAGGAUGGGACUGCGGCCUAUCAGUUUGUUGGUGAGGUAAUGGCCCACCAAGACUAUUACAGGUACGGGCUCUGAGAGGAGUAGCCCGGAGAUGGGUACUGAGACACGGACCCAGGUCCUAUGGGGCGCAGCAGGCGAGAAAACUUUGCAAUGUGCGAAAGCACGACAAGGUUAAUCCGAGUGGUUUCUGCUAAAGAAACCUUUUGUCAGUCCUAGAAACACUAACGAAUAAGGGGUGGGCAAGUUCUGGUGUCAGCCGCCGCGGUAAAACCAGCACCUCAAGUGGUCAGGAUGAUUAUUGGGCCUAAAGCAUCCGUAGCCCGUUUUGUAAGUUUUCGGUUAAAUCCAUGCGCUUAACGUAUGGGCUGCCGGGAAUACUGCAUAACUAGGAAGUGGGAGAGGUAGACGGUACUCGGGAGGAAGGGGUAAAAUCCUUUGAUCUCUUGAUGACCACCUGUGGCGAAAGCGGUCUACCAGAACACGUUCGACGGUGAGGGAUGAAAGCUGGGGGAGCAACCGGGAUUAGAUACCCGGGUUAGUCCAGCUGUAACUAUGCAACUCAGUGAUGCAUGCCCUGCUGUCGAUGCAGUUGCUUGCCACG